This 446-nucleotide ribosomal RNA is filed under the name uncultured bacterium. Its description in RNAcentral is "partial 16S ribosomal RNA". It matches the Rfam family "Bacterial small subunit ribosomal RNA", at positions 338 to 795 of the family's 1533-position model. The record is from RNAcentral.
CCUACGGGUGGCAGCAGUCGAGAAUCUUUCACAAUGGGGGAAACCCUGAUGGUGCGACGCCGCGUGGGGGAAUGAAGGUCUUCGGAUUGUAAACCCCUGUCAUGUGGGAGCAAAUUAAAAAGAUAGUACCACAAGAGGAAGAGACGGCUAACUCUGUGCCAGCAGCCGCGGUAAUACAGAGGUCUCAAGCGUUGUUCGGAAUGACUGGGCGUAAAGCGUGCGUAGGCUGUUUCGUAAGUCGUGUGUGAAAGGCGCGGGCUCAACCCGCGGACGGCACAUGAUACUGCGAGACUAGAGUAGUGGAGGGGGAACCGGAAUGCUCGGUGUAGCAGUGAAAUGCGUAGAUAUCGAGAGGAACACUCGUGGCGAAGGCGGGUUCCUGGACAUUAACUGACGCUGAGGCACGAAAGCCAGGGGAGCGAAAAGGAUUAGAUACCCGUGUAGUC